AACAGGAUUAGAUACCCUGGUAGUCCAUGCCGUAAACGAUGAUUACUAAGUGUUGGAGGGUUUCCGCCCUUCAGUGCUGCAGCUAACGCAUUAAGUAAUCCGCCUGGGGAGUACGACCGCAAGGUUGAAACUCAAAAGAAUUGACGGGGGCCCGCACAAGCGGUGGAGCAUGUGGUUUAAUUCGAAGCUACGCGAAGAACCUUACCAGGUCUUGACAUCUUCUGCCAACCUAAGAGAUUAGGCGUUCCCUUCGGGGACAGAAUGACAGGUGGUGCAUGGUUGUCGUCAGCUCGUGUCGUGAGAUGUUGGGUUAAGUCCCGCAACGAGCGCAACCCUUAUUACUAGUUGCCAGCAUUCAGUUGGGCACUCUAGUGAGACUGCCGGUGACAAACCGGAGGAAGGUGGGGACGACGUCAAAUCAUCAUGCCCCUUAUGACCUGGGCUACACAUGUGCUACAAUGGAUGGUACAACGAGUCGCGAAACCGCGAGGUUUAGCUAAUCUCUUAAAACCAUUCUCAGUUCGGACUGUAGGCUGCAACUCGCCUACACGAAGUCGGAAUCGCUAGUAAUCGCGGAUCAGCAUGCCGCGGUGAAUACGUUCCCGGGCCUUGUACACACCGCCCGUCACACCAUGAGAGUUUGUAACACCCAAAGCCGGUGGGGUAACCUUUUAGGAGCUAGCCGUCUAAGGUGGGACAGAUGAUUAGGGUGAAGUCGUAACAAGGUAACC
Molecule: ribosomal RNA, 731 nt
Filed under: uncultured bacterium
Lineage: Bacteria
Description: bacterial SSU rRNA
Rfam family: Bacterial small subunit ribosomal RNA
Source: RNAcentral